AAGCGGCAACAGCUCAAAUUUGAAAUCUGGCGCAAGCCCGAGUUGUAAUUUGUAGAGGAUGCUUCAGGGCAGCGGCCGGUCUAAGUUCCUUGGAACAGGACGUCGUAGAGGGUGAGAAUCCCGUAUGCGACCGGUUGGCACCCGUCACGUAGCUCCUUCGACGAGUCGAGUUGUUUGGGAAUGCAGCUCUAAAUGGGAGGUAAAUUUCUUCUAAAGCUAAAUACCGGCCAGAGACCGAUAGCGCACAAGUAGAGUGAUCGAAAGAUGAAAAGCACUUUGGAAAGAGAGUUAAAAAGCACGUGAAAUUGUUGAAAGGGAAGCGCAUGCAACCAGACUUGUCGGCGGUGUUCCGCCGGUCUUCUGACCGGUCUAUUCGCCGCCGGCAGGCCAGCAUCAUCUGGGUGCGCCGGAUAAAGGCGCGGGGAAUGUGGCUCCUCGGAGUGUUAUAGCCCCGCGCACAAUACGGCGCCGCCCGGGUGAGGUCCGCGCUUCGGCUAGGAUGCUGGCGUAAUGGUUGUCUGCGGCCCGUCUUGAAACACGGACCAAGGAGUCUAACAUCUAUGCGAGUGUUCGGGUGUCAAACCCCUACGCGUAAUGAAAGUGAACGGAGGUGGGAAGCGCAAGCUGCACCAUCGACCGAUCCUGAUGUCUUCGGAUGGAUUUGAGUAAGAGCAUAGCUGUUGGGACCCGAAAGAUGGUGAACUAUGCCUGAAUAGGGUGAAGCCAGAGGAAACUCUGGUGGA
This 743-nucleotide ribosomal RNA is filed under the name Teratosphaeria pseudocryptica. RNAcentral's name for it is "eukaryotic LSU rRNA". It matches the Rfam family "Eukaryotic large subunit ribosomal RNA", at positions 96 to 871 of the family's 3401-position model. The record is from RNAcentral. Lineage: Eukaryota; Fungi; Ascomycota; Dothideomycetes; Mycosphaerellales; Teratosphaeriaceae.